AAAAAAUUAAAAAUAAAUAAAAGAGAGGAUCUAGCGAGUGCGAAUAGCAACAACAUGUAUGACUACUAACAUGCAUUGCUACGUAGAAGUUUCUAUACAAGAAAUAAUUAUUUGUCAAAAGACAAAAUAAAAAGGUUAAUAUUUUGUCGAUGAAGAUGUAAUAUUUUUGCUAUUUAUUUCUACUUAUUGUUUCUUGUUUUUAUAUUAUAUCAUUUUCUAGAAUAUUUUGUCUUGAGCAGGGAUCUUUCGGAAACAACCUCUCUAUCUAUAAGGUAGUAGUAUGGACCAUAUGCAC
This 295-nucleotide long non-coding RNA is filed under the name Capsicum annuum. RNAcentral's name for it is "long non-coding RNA (CANN_LNC001235)". Lineage: Eukaryota; Viridiplantae; Streptophyta; Magnoliopsida; Solanales; Solanaceae. The record is from RNAcentral.